RNAcentral lists this ribosomal RNA (316 nucleotides) under uncultured eukaryote. RNAcentral's name for it is "partial large subunit ribosomal RNA". It matches the Rfam family "Eukaryotic large subunit ribosomal RNA", at positions 40 to 350 of the family's 3401-position model. The record is from RNAcentral.
AUAUCAAUAAGCGGAGGAUAAGAAACUAACAAGGAUUCCCCUAGUAACGGCGAGUGAAGCGGGAAGAGCUCAGUAUGAAAAUCGACUUGCCAAACGGCAUUUCGAGUUGUAGUCUAAAGAAGCGCUGCCAGUGAGUGAUCCGGGUAUAAACCUUUGGAACAAGGUGUCACAGAGGGUGAGAAUCCCGUCUUUGACUCGGAGUUCGCCGCGUACGGCACGCUUUCACAGAGUCGCGUUGUUUGGGAAUGCAGCGCAAAAUGGGUGGUAAAUUUCAUCUAAAGCUAAAUAUCAGCGAGAGACCGAUAGCGCACAAGUA